GACGAACGCUGGCGGCGUGCUUAACACAUGCAAGUCGAACGGAAAGGCCUGCAGCUUGCUGCGGGUACUCGAGUGGCGAACGGGUGAGUAACACGUGGGUGAUCUGCCUUGCACUUCGGGAUAAGCUUGGGAAACUGGGUCUAAUACCGGAUAGGACAGCUGUUUAGUGUCAGUUGUGGAAAGUUUUUUCGGUGCAAGAUGAGCUCGCGGCCUAUCAGCUUGUUGGUGGGGUAAUGGCCUACCAAGGCGUCGACGGGUAGCCGGCCUGAGAGGGUGUACGGCCACAUUGGGACUGAGAUACGGCCCAGACUCCUACGGGAGGCAGCAGUGGGGAAUAUUGCACAAUGGGCGGAAGCCUGAUGCAGCGACGCCGCGUGGGGGAUGAAGGCCUUCGGGUUGUAAACUCCUUUCGACAGGGACGAAGCGUAAGUGACGGUACCUGUAUAAGAAGCACCGGCUAACUACGUGCCAGCAGCCGCGGUAAUACGUAGGGUGCGAGCGUUGUCCGGAAUUACUGGGCGUAAAGAGCUCGUAGGUGGUUUGUCGCGUCGUCUGUGAAAUUCCGGGGCUUAACUCCGGGCGUGCAGGCGAUACGGGCUGACUUGAGUGCUGUAGGGGAGACUGGAAUUCCUGGUGUAGCGGUGAAAUGCGCAGAUAUCAGGAGGAACACCGAUGGCGAAGGCAGGUCUCUGGGCAGUAACUGACGCUGAGGAGCGAAAGCAUGGGUAGCGAACAGGAUUAGAUACCCUGGUAGUCCAUGCCGUAAACGGUGGGCGCUAGGUGUAGGGGGCUUCCACGUCUUCUGUGCCGUAGCUAACGCAUUAAGCGCCCCGCCUGGGGAG
This 842-nucleotide ribosomal RNA is filed under the name uncultured Actinomycetes bacterium. RNAcentral describes it as "bacterial SSU rRNA". It matches the Rfam family "Bacterial small subunit ribosomal RNA", at positions 28 to 880 of the family's 1533-position model. The record is from RNAcentral. Lineage: Bacteria; Bacillati; Actinomycetota; Actinomycetes.